RNAcentral lists this transfer RNA (62 nucleotides) under Bullacta caurina. RNAcentral's name for it is "tRNA-Lys". Lineage: Eukaryota; Metazoa; Mollusca; Gastropoda; Cephalaspidea; Haminoeidae. The record is from RNAcentral.
UUUUUUGGUGACCGAUCAUCAAGGUGAUAAACUUUUAAUUUAUUUAUGAGUAUUUAGCUCCC